This 617-nucleotide ribosomal RNA is filed under the name Pantoea sp. G7B. Its description in RNAcentral is "bacterial SSU rRNA". It matches the Rfam family "Bacterial small subunit ribosomal RNA", at positions 38 to 645 of the family's 1533-position model. The record is from RNAcentral. Lineage: Bacteria; Pseudomonadati; Pseudomonadota; Gammaproteobacteria; Enterobacterales; Erwiniaceae.
ACCGGCGGAGCCUAACACAUGCAAGUCGGACGGUAGCACAGAGAGCUUGCUCUUGGGUGACGAGUGGCGGACGGGUGAGUAAUGUCUGGGGAUCUGCCCGAUAGAGGGGGAUAACCACUGGAAACGGUGGCUAAUACCGCAUAACGUCGCAAGACCAAAGAGGGGGACCUUCGGGCCUCUCACUAUCGGAUGAACCCAGAUGGGAUUAGCUAGUAGGCGGGGUAAUGGCCCACCUAGGCGACGAUCCCUAGCUGGUCUGAGAGGAUGACCAGCCACACUGGAACUGAGACACGGUCCAGACUCCUACGGGAGGCAGCAGUGGGGAAUAUUGCACAAUGGGCGCAAGCCUGAUGCAGCCAUGCCGCGUGUAUGAAGAAGGCCUUCGGGUUGUAAAGUACUUUCAGCGGGGAGGAAGGCGAUGGGGUUAAUAACCCUGUCGAUUGACGUUACCCGCGGAAGAAGCACCGGCUAACUCCGUGCCAGCAGCCGCGGUAAUACGGAGGGUGCAAGCGUUAAUCGGAAUUACUGGGCGUAAAGCGCACGCAGGCGGUCUGUUAAGUCAGAUGUGAAAUCCCCGGGCUUAACCUGGGAACUGCAUUUGAAACUGGCAGGCUUGA